AACAAAUUUCUGUAGUUUUCACAGCAUUAUUACUGUAAAAUGAGCAAAUGCUUACUGUAGAACUUGUAUACAGCAUGUUGCUGUAGAUCUGCAAAGCAUCAUGGUCUUUUUUCAACGGCGGGUAAAUUCUACAGUAAAAAUAUUUUUCCUGUGAAUCACAAUACAGCAAUUUCUAAAGGAUUUUUUUCUUCAGCCAAGGAAAGCUACGAGAUUCCACACUUUCAUCUGAAUUUUUACUUCAGAAAGGGUUGAUGACGUAUGCGAGUGCGACCUCCGCACGCAGGCUGAAACCAGUCUCUCGAGCAGCUGAGGAGAUAUGAACGCAGCUGAGGAGAUAUGAGGAAACUUCCACCUACAGUAAGCAGAUGCCGAGGCCCAGAUUUCCAUGCUAAGCACUCCAAGGCUCAUCAUGCUCGGAGAGUCCAAUCUGAGGGCAAAAAAUGGAUGCUUUCCAUCGAGUGCUGAGUUCUCCCUUCAAUUGAGUGACGGUUGUGAUUUCACUUCUGCUCUAGCCUUUUUGCGUCAUACUAUGUAUGAGGCAGCCACUACAUUGGGAUUUAUCCAGAGGGUAGAGUCCAGCCCAGGAAGUCAACUAGUUCAUGUCCAGAUUUAAAAGAAUAAUAUUUCUGAAAAAAAGGUCUUGGAGAAAAACAAUAUUCAGGUUUGAAAUCCUGCUGUAAAUGUAAAUCAUUUAACUUUUAUGCAUUUGUAAUUUACCAGAAACUUUUUAAUAAAUAUUGAUUGUUUUGUGUGUUCAGAAAAAAAGUGUUUUUGUAUGUUCAGAAAAGUGUUGAAAUUAAAUGAAACAUUCACAGAAAAAUGUUAACAUAUUUAAAAAAAUGUAUAUGUUCAGAAAAGUUUUGAGAUGUUCACAGAAAAAAUGUAACACAAAAAAUGUAUGCUAUGCUAUUUUUAAUUUAUGAAUUUUUGUAAUUUAAAGUGAUAAAAUAAAUGGCAUUUUUGUGACAAA
Non-coding RNA from Misgurnus anguillicaudatus (oriental weatherfish), 970 nucleotides. NCBI's taxonomy places the organism in Eukaryota, Metazoa, Chordata, Actinopteri, Cypriniformes, Cobitidae. The record is from RefSeq and is a predicted model, not a curated record.